CUGGAGGAGAACUUAUCUGCCACCAGCGACGCCAGAGGCAAUCUCACGGCUGCUCGAGAGCACUCUGAAUCCCUCCGGCUCGAGCUACAUACAGCCUUGGAGGCUCUCAAGAGGGCUGAUGUGAGGGCCUCUGAGGCGCAGGAACAUGCUAAAUCCCUGGAGGCGGAGUUGUCUCACACCCGAGGGGUCCUAAAGGAAUCUGACGAGAGG
RNAcentral lists this long non-coding RNA (210 nucleotides) under Manihot esculenta (cassava). Its description in RNAcentral is "long non-coding RNA (MESC_LNC004899)". Lineage: Eukaryota; Viridiplantae; Streptophyta; Magnoliopsida; Malpighiales; Euphorbiaceae. The record is from RNAcentral.